RNAcentral lists this ribosomal RNA (912 nucleotides) under Triticum aestivum (bread wheat). Its description in RNAcentral is "partial small subunit ribosomal RNA". Lineage: Eukaryota; Viridiplantae; Streptophyta; Magnoliopsida; Poales; Poaceae. The record is from RNAcentral.
AUGGUCGAAAUCAUUACUAUAUAUGUAUGGCCUUGCUGUAGAAUUAACAUAGUAUUUAGAGAAUCAUGUCUUCAUCCUAUCUCGCGUCAAUGGUGGCCUUGCACUCUUCUGGCUUCGGAACCUGCCUCUGAUCUGGCACCAGAGCUUGCACUUGAACCUGCCUCUGAUCUGGCACUAGAGCUUGCACUUGAACCUGCACUGGACCCUGCACUUGAUCCGGCACUAGAGCCUGCACUGGACCCCGCACUUGAUCCGGCACUGGACCCCGCACUUGAUCCUGCCUCGGAUCCUGCACUAGAGCUAGCACCUGAUCCAUCCCUUGAGCCGCUUCCCGACCCAGAGCCUGAAGCCGAAGCUGAGCCUGACCCUGAACUCGAGCUAGAGCCACCAGUAGCACCACCUAAUCCAAUACCGAGUCCAGCCCCAAGCCCAAGCCCACCCCCUCCCGAGGCUGAGCCUGACCCAGAAGCCGAUGCCGAUCCAGAACCAGAUCCUAUGCCUGGAAUUGAUCCAGAACGAGAGACAGAUGCCGAACCCGAUCCAGAACCGGAACUAGAACCACCACCACCACCAAUACCAACUCCAACACCAAGUCCAAGACCUAGACCACCUGACCCCGAUCCUGAGCCCGACCCCGAACCAGACCCAGAACCAGAACCCGACCCUGAUCCGGAACCGGAUCCCGAGCCCGAGCCUGAACUACCAGCACCCAAGCCGAUACCGAUUCCAAGCCCGCCAAGGCCGAGGUUGAGACCAAGGUCCUUCCGAGCAUAGCGGCUCUCGCCCACCGGGGCAAGCGAUGCACCAGCGACAAGUACAGCUACAAAAGCAAUGGCCUUAAUGCAGACCAUUGUGCCCACUGCCCUCUCUUGUCUCUAUCUCAACAGUGAACGAGUGAGUGAGUCGCGGUGA